RNAcentral lists this long non-coding RNA (1317 nucleotides) under Zalophus californianus (California sea lion). RNAcentral's name for it is "lncRNA (ENSZCAG00015018604.1)". Lineage: Eukaryota; Metazoa; Chordata; Mammalia; Carnivora; Otariidae. The record is from RNAcentral.
UUUUAUACUUAUAUCGACUUGUUUCUUCUGUUCAGUGGGAGACAUGCAUUUGGCACCAACCUUCUCAGCUUCCUCAAAAAGGCUGUCAACAAAAUAUUCACAAUUUCUUUGUUGAUCAUCACUAAGAGGUUGGUUGUCAGAUCCUGUUUCACAAACCCUCCGGGCGCAGCUGCGCUGCCGCCUUCCGGCCUGGUCCUCCGUUCGCUCAGGGGCCGCGGGCGCCACCGCCGCUGUCGGGCUGGAGCCCCUCAGACGAGGAGCACCGCCGCCCCCAGACCCGCUGAGGCUCGCGGGCCCCGCCGCUGGGACCCAGCCCGCCUCCCUGGGCCUCCGCCGCCGGGCGCCGAGCGCGUGCCGAGCCCAGAGUCUGUAGUCUUAAUCAUGAUAUUCUGAGUCCUUUUUGAGCAAGAUUACAGGUCAUGUACUUACAAAGAUGUGUGCCUAGAGAACUUCAAUGCAGCAUUGCUGGCCAUCUCUCCAGUCUGAAAACAACUUAAACAUCCAUGAGACCAGGUAGGGCGAAUUAUGGCCCAUCUCUAGGAGGGAAUAUCACACAGCAGUUUUAAAGGUUGUCAACCGUCCAUUGUUAAAAUAAAGAUACACGAUCUCAGCGCAGCACAUAUGCUUUUUCUUUUUGUUUCAUAAGAAGGGAAAAAAUAUAAUAAAGAUUGACCCAUUUGUAAACUUCUUCUUCUUCUUUUUUUUUUUUUGGAGAGCUUAUUAACGUAUGAGGCCCUGUUAGAGGCACUGGGGAUGUAGCAAGUUAUAAAAAGAGAUGAGUCCUGGCCGGUUAGCUCAGUUGGUUAGAGCGUGGUGCUAAUAAAAAGAGAUGAUACAGGGGAGGAGACAUAGAAUAAGGGAAGACAGACAGACAUUGGAUAGUUCAGAGGGUGAACAGUAAAAUGGAAAAAUAGAGUGGGAAUUAAAAAAGGGAUGGGAGGUUUUGCAAUUUUCAAACAGGCAGCUUCAAGGAAGGCCCCUGAGUGGAUCUAACAUCUGAAUAAAGAACUGAAGCAGGAUAUAGUGAACUUGGCAGGUAUUUGGGGAGUUAUAAGAAAUUCAGUUGUAUAUGUAGAAAAGGUCUUUGAAAAGCUGUUAACAGUAACCUUAUAAGGGACCAGGGAUUAGCAGGUACUUCCACUUUUUCCCGUUUUAAAUCACAAGAUAAAAUUACCAGCAACCUUAGGGAAUCCGGUCUGCCCACUUAUAAUUGUCAAUGCUUUUUAUCAAUUGUAAUGACAGGUUCAUUACAUCGAAUUUUUGGUUAAUGAAUGUAACCCCCGGCCUCUGUAACAAAAUCCAGCUGAUCCCUCUCUG